UACAUUAGUGCUUGCGCACGACAAUAAAUUUCAUUACAUUCGAGUUUGUGUAAAAAUCCUCUGCCGGCCGAAGCUAGCAAGAGGCCAAAGGUUCACAGGGUAUUGGAUGAAAGCCACCGACGUGCCGAAGCCGGCCAGCACUGACGGCGACGAUUCGCAAUCAAUAAUGAUCCUUCCGCAGGUUCACCUACGGAAA
RNAcentral lists this unclassified non-coding RNA (196 nucleotides) under uncultured fungus. RNAcentral describes it as "sequence contains ITS1". The record is from RNAcentral. Lineage: Eukaryota; Fungi.